CUGAUGCCACCUUUCCAUCUUUCUGUCUCUGCCCUGUCCCCUGACCGGCGUGGUGUGGAGCACUCAGCAGCAACGUGAAGUAAUUAGCACAGGACCUGUGUACGCCAGGGCGAGGCUGUGUGGUGGAAACCAGGCCUGCCUCGGUCUCGCAGUCAGACGUGCCUGCCAGAGCUGCUGCGGUUUCUGGGUCAGAACGUGCAUGCCCGGAAGAAUAAGAACGUCGACAUUCUCUGGCAAGCUGCUGAGAUCUGCCGCCGCCUUAAUGGGGUCCGGUUCACCAGCUGCAAGAGCGCUAAGGACCGUACAGCCAUGUCGGUGACACUGGAGCAGUGCCUGAUCCUGCAACACGAGCAUGGCAUGGCCCCGCAGGUCUUCACCCAGGCCCUGGAGUGCAUGCGCAGUGAGGGUUGUCGAAGAGAAAAUACAAUGAAGAAUGUUGGAAGUCGCAAAUAUGCAUUUAAUUCCCUGCAGCUGAAGGCUUUCCCCAAGCAUUACAGGC
This 499-nucleotide small RNA is filed under the name Pan troglodytes (chimpanzee). Its description in RNAcentral is "processed transcript". Lineage: Eukaryota; Metazoa; Chordata; Mammalia; Primates; Hominidae. The record is from RNAcentral.